This 248-nucleotide ribosomal RNA is filed under the name uncultured bacterium. RNAcentral's name for it is "partial 16S ribosomal RNA". It matches the Rfam family "Bacterial small subunit ribosomal RNA", at positions 32 to 258 of the family's 1533-position model. The record is from RNAcentral.
AAUCAACGCUGGCGGCGUGCCUAACACAUGCAAGUCGAACGCGAAAGCCCCUUCGGGGGUAAGUAGAGUGGCGUCCGGGUGAGUAACACGUAGGUAAUCUACCUUCGGGUGGGGAAGUAACCAGUCGAAAGAUUGGCUAAUACCGCAUAAUGCAGCGGCACCUAAUGGUGAUUAGUUGUUAAAGCGGGGGAGUCGUAAGACCUCGCGCCUGAAGAGGAGCCUGCGGCAGAUUAGCUAGUUGGGAGGUA